UUUUGAUCCUUCGUUCUCGGUGAUUCUGACCAACUUGAAAACAAAUGCAACCAGCCAGGUGAUCAUGGAUAGAUGUCGCAUGUAUCUGGAUGCUGGUAUAUUGGGCCAUGAUUUGGGGACAUGUGACAUGAUGUUCAUCCCGGUUUGUGAGAACAACCACUGGCAC
Long non-coding RNA from Vitis riparia (riverbank grape), 166 nucleotides. RefSeq lists it as uncharacterized. NCBI's taxonomy places the organism in Eukaryota, Viridiplantae, Streptophyta, Magnoliopsida, Vitales, Vitaceae. The transcript has 3 exons. The record is from RefSeq and is a predicted model, not a curated record.